UGCUUUUUUUAACUUUAGAAAAUCAAGCAGGUUAGAGAAAACAGAGAUUAGUGGAUGCUUUCUUUACAGAUUUAUUUAUUUAUAAGGAGAAGAAAAGAGCUCCAUAAAUACUUGACAGGAUUUGCCCUGCUUUAAACAAUGAGUGAUGCUUAGGGGAAUGUAAUAAAGAACAAAAGCUCCUUUGGCUGUGUUUUGAGACCUUCACUUGGCUAAAGAGAUGAUUCGGAUAUGGCUCUUUUUGCACUGUUUCAUGAUUGUGCACUCAGAAGUUACAACUUUCUUCAACUUUCUUCUUUCUUGGUCUAGACUACACUGUUUGUCCCAGGUAGAGCAUCACUAUCAUGCCUCACACCAAGUAAGAUUUUUCCCUGAGCCUGAAAUAAUUUAUUUUCUUAGUAUUCAUUGUAAUAAGCAUUAAGAGGGCAUGUGGAGCUGAGGACAGAGCCCUGGUUACCAGCAAGGGGAGGGGACAGGGAGGCAGAGGAAGUGGAGCCCACGGGAAGAUAAAGUGGUCAGAGAGGGUGACAGAACAGGGAGAGUGGCUCAUCACAGAAGCUAGGGGAGUAAAGUAUCUUAGGUUUUUUAGGUGAGAGAUUAAAAAUGUAC
Molecule: long non-coding RNA, 606 nt
Filed under: Bos taurus (domestic cattle)
Lineage: Eukaryota; Metazoa; Chordata; Mammalia; Artiodactyla; Bovidae
Description: long non-coding RNA NONBTAT011318
Source: RNAcentral